RNAcentral lists this transfer RNA (69 nucleotides) under Ochotona koslowi (Kozlov's pika). RNAcentral describes it as "tRNA-Asp". RNAcentral also lists the same sequence under 1 other name. Lineage: Eukaryota; Metazoa; Chordata; Mammalia; Lagomorpha; Ochotonidae. The record is from RNAcentral.
GAGAUAUUAGUAAAAUUAUUACCUAAUCUUGUCAAGAUUAAAUUACGGGCUAAACACCCGUAUAUCUCC